AUGCGCCCCGGCCGUAUGCGGAACGGCUCUUGCUGGUCCGCCGCUCGGCUCGGGGUGUGGACUAUUGUCGGCCGCGCCGGCGGCCAAAGCCCGGGGGCCCUAGGUGCCCCCGGUGGCCGUCGUCGGCACGGCCGGUACCCGCGCGCCUAA
RNAcentral lists this ribosomal RNA (150 nucleotides) under Triticum aestivum (bread wheat). RNAcentral's name for it is "partial small subunit ribosomal RNA". Lineage: Eukaryota; Viridiplantae; Streptophyta; Magnoliopsida; Poales; Poaceae. The record is from RNAcentral.